Molecule: ribosomal RNA, 253 nt
Filed under: uncultured bacterium
Lineage: Bacteria
Description: partial 16S ribosomal RNA
Rfam family: Bacterial small subunit ribosomal RNA
Source: RNAcentral
UACGUAGGGGGCAAGCGUUGUCCGGAUUUAUUGGGCGUAAAGAGCGUGUAGGCGGUUUGGUAGGUCCGUUGUGAAAACUCGAGGCUCAACCUCGAGACGCCGAUGGAAACCAUCAGACUAGAGUCCGGAAGAGGAGAGUGGAAUUCCUGGUGUAGCGGUGAAAUGCGCAGAUUUCAGGAAGAACACCCGUGGCUAAGGCGGCUCUCUAGUACGGUACUGACGCUGAGACGCGAAAGCGUGGGGAGCAAACAGG